Molecule: unclassified non-coding RNA, 124 nt
Filed under: Entamoeba dispar
Lineage: Eukaryota; Evosea; Mastigamoebida; Endamoebidae
Description: ITS1
Source: RNAcentral
UAAAAGAAAAGAAAUAAUCUUUUAAAAUAAAACAAGAAAUUUAUAGAAUAAGAUAAUCUACAAAGAAAAUAAUAAAAGUAAGAAUAAAAGGAAUUAGAAUAUAAGAAGAAAGAAAAAGUAUAAU